UAGGGAAUCUUCGGCAAUGGACGAAAGUCUGACCGAGCAACGCCGCGUGAGUGAAGAAGGUUUUCGGAUCGUAAAACUCUGUUGGUAGAGAAGAACGUUGGUGAGAGUGGAAAGCUCAUCAAGUGACGGUAACUACCCAGGAAGGGACGGCUAACUACGUGCCAGCAGCCGCGGCAAUACGUAGGUUUCGAGCGUUGUCCGGAUUUAUUGGGCGUAAAGCGAGCGCAGGUGGUUUAUUAAGUCUGGUGUAAAAGGCAGUGGCUCAACCAUUGUAUGCAUUGGAAACUGGUAGACUUGAGUGCAGGAGAGGAGAGUGGAAUUCCAUGUGUAGCGGUGAAAUGCGUAGAUAUAUGGAGGAACACCGGUGGCGAAGGCGGCUCUCUGGCCUGUAACUGACACUGAGGCUCGAAAGCGUGGGGAGCAAACAGG
RNAcentral lists this ribosomal RNA (429 nucleotides) under Fusobacteriota bacterium. RNAcentral's name for it is "Fusobacteria bacterium partial 16S ribosomal RNA". It matches the Rfam family "Bacterial small subunit ribosomal RNA", at positions 355 to 776 of the family's 1533-position model. The record is from RNAcentral. Lineage: Bacteria; Fusobacteriati; Fusobacteriota.